ACGUAGGCAGCGAGCGUUGUUCGGAGUUACUGGGCGUAAAGGGUGUGUAGGCGGUUCUCUAAGUUUGGUGUGAAAUCCCACGGCUCAACCGUGGAACGGCUGGGUAUACUGGGCGUUUUGGGCCAUUCAGGGGCGACUGGAACAAGCGGUGGAGCGGUGAAAUGCGUAGAUAUCGCUUGGAACGCCGAAGGUGAAAACAGGUCGCUGGGGAUGUGCCGACGCUGAGACACGAAAGCCAGGGGAGCAAACGGGA
This 253-nucleotide ribosomal RNA is filed under the name uncultured prokaryote. RNAcentral's name for it is "partial 16S ribosomal RNA". It matches the Rfam family "Bacterial small subunit ribosomal RNA", at positions 525 to 777 of the family's 1533-position model. The record is from RNAcentral.